GGCCGACUCAAAUUCAAAGCAUUUUGUAUAUAUAACUGUUUUCUUUUUUUGCUUUUCUGCUGCAUGUCUUUUUCGUGGGGGGUGAUCCUCUGCAGAUCCCCCCAUUUGCGGACCCGCCAUGUGGAGGAGGCAUUUGGGGGGCUCAGAAGGAAAUUAGCUCGGCUCCAUACCUAUAAGGACUGCCUAACUUUUAAACUCCCGGCACUCAAAGAUGUGGACACACACACGUACAGGAAAUACAGCCAGACCAGAGCCUUUGCAGUCCGCAGCUGACCGGAAGACGUUGCCUUUCAUUCAUUCAUUCUGCCCGCCUCUGUGGACUCCUUUACUAGGCGACCAGCCCUGAAACAGAAGUUGGACAUUUUUUAAAGGUUCUUGCGCUCGGCAAGGGGAGCAGAUAGAUGCUCAAGAGCGAAAGACGCAGAGAAUUGGAUCUGGCGCCUCCUAACGCAGCCCGCACAGGAGCGAAGGAGAGUGUGACGAUCCCCCUGAUGCGGCUGAGAUGCUCUGAAAUGAAGACGUUGGCUCUCAUCCCCAGCCUGA
RNAcentral lists this long non-coding RNA (543 nucleotides) under Pan troglodytes (chimpanzee). RNAcentral's name for it is "lincRNA". The record is from RNAcentral. Lineage: Eukaryota; Metazoa; Chordata; Mammalia; Primates; Hominidae.